Molecule: unclassified non-coding RNA, 122 nt
Filed under: Moritella viscosa
Lineage: Bacteria; Pseudomonadati; Pseudomonadota; Gammaproteobacteria; Alteromonadales; Moritellaceae
Description: putative sRNA
Source: RNAcentral
GUUUUGAUGAGUUGAUAUUAAACGUUCAAUUGAUAUUUAGUUAGUUUAUAUUUUCUAUAGUCAUCAUUCACAUUGUGAAUAUAUAAGGCUGUUAAUUUAUCUUAUUUGUGGUGUACUCUGGU